This is an RNA transcript of Trematomus bernacchii (emerald rockcod), 2783 nucleotides long. It is a transcript of the gene named death effector domain-containing 1, with no coding region annotated. The transcript is spliced from 8 exons. The record is from RefSeq and is a predicted model, not a curated record. Lineage: Eukaryota; Metazoa; Chordata; Actinopteri; Perciformes; Nototheniidae.
GGACAGUUUCUCUAUGUUAUUGUGCUACUAGCAGUACUGCAAGUUGCUGAGGAAGCAUUCAGACGAUCCGACGCUUAUGUCCAGGAACGUGAGAAUUCAGACAAACGUGAUGACGUACCAGGUUAAGGGUUAUUUGCUCCAACGUUUGCUGCUGAGUACUUAAAGGUCUCUGGCUGCUGAAGAUACUCUGUGAAACGACGCCAACAAAACACAUUCACACUGACAGAACUCUACACUGCAUGCUACAAGACAGCGUCGAGCUGACAUCGAAGACAGGUGGGAAGGUGGAGAGGGGCUAAAGGCAGACCCAUGGCUGCAGUGCAUCAUCCGGGGUGUCCACACAGGGACUCGCUCUUCUGGGAUGAAACAGACUGCCAAAACUACUAUGGGAUGUUGUCACUCCAUGAGGUCUUUGAGGUAGUUGGUUGUCAGUUGACACAAACUGACAUUGAGGUGUUGUCGUUCCUCCUGGAUGAAGCUUGUCCUGCUCCUCACCCUCUCGACCCAACAGGGUGGACAGUUGAGCCGUGUGGGGACGAUCCUAAUGACCCAGGUGUUUCUCCGAGUCCUGAGCUGCUAAAGGCCUGGAUGAAGUUGAAACCUCAGGGCUCCCAGGGUCCCCUAGUGGCCUCAUGCACCCCUAAGAGUGGGCUCGAGCUGUUGUUAGAGCUGGAGAAGCGAGGCUACCUCAGCGACGGGAAUCUGGAACCACUACUGCAACUGCUGAGAGUCCUCACUCGUCACGACCUGCUGCCGCUAGCGUCGCACAAGAGAAGACCGACAGUAACUCCGGAAAGGCCGAUGCCUCACAGCAAAAAGCAGACAGAAAUACCUCAACCAUAUUGUGCACAUCAUUUGAGAACUGGUAUUAUCCCCCCUGUGACUGAGCCAUCUGCUAGCAAGGGGAGGAAGAGGAGGGGUAAUGGCUGGAGCUGCAGGCCCAAGAGAACAAGAAGAACUGUCCCACCUCUGCCCCCUCCACCACAAGCACAUCAAGACUUUUGCAAUAUCCGCCUGCGUGUCCGGGCCGAAUACCUGGAGCACGAGUCUGCUCUCCGUGAGGGAGUCUCGUCGGACAAACAGCAGCCCCUGGAGCGGCAGUUUGAGUUGUUCAGCAAAGCCAACACUCUGCUUCACGCCAGAGACCUCGGGACCCUCGUCUGCGUCAUCAAGUUCACAGAUGUUGACAACCUGGAGUCCUUCUGGGCAGACUACCUCAGCGGAGCUCUGCUGGAGGCCAUGAAGGGAGUCUUCAUCACUGACUCCCUGAGGAGGGCCGCAGGCAGGGAGGACGUCCGCCUGAUGAUGAGUGUGGACCAGGACGACUAUGAGGAAGGCCGAAUGCUGCUGAGAGAGAGGAGAAUGGUGUCAUCUAGUAAGGGUGGGGUGGACUGAGACUCGCUGGGAUUAUAGGCUUGUAAGAGUGUGCCACUUUGUAGGACACCAGGAUGAGGCAGGAUCCAUCAAGAUAUGUCUUCUUAGACUCAGUGAGAACAAGAGCAAGCAAGAGUGUGCCAAAAUAAGUGUUUUCUCACUUAGUCGUUUUCCCUGGCCCUGCGUACCUGUAUUAGUGGAGCGUGCCCUGCUCCUGCCCCCGCCCCCGGACGGUCUGAAGAGGUCCAUCGAAUGCAGGUCACCGUGGAUCAGAUCCUUAAUUAUUUUCUCCUUGCUGUAAGCGGUCAGCACGAUGAGACCCAAGAACGGUGUGUGCUUCAAACAUCUUAUUAAACUACCCACCAUUGUGCUACGUUUCCCUCCACUUGCUUGUAGGCCCGGCUAUUGCAGUGUAGUAGUUGUAAUGUUAUGUGAUGUUGGACGCUUUAUUUAUUGUCAGUAAAAAUGUGCCUUUUUCUUUUGCUUCAUAUACAAUGCAAUCACCUCAAAUGUACACUUACAAUGUCUUCAAACAAUAUAUAAUAUUUUCAGCUGAGAUGCUUAUCUUUAUCUGAAGUUUAUCAUCUUCCUCCAUGAUAGAUUAUGGGACCUAAAAAUAUAAUUCUCUUAUGAAUAUUUAACAAACAGUCGAUAUAUUUUGGACAUUUAACCUCCAUUUUUUUUAUCCACAAAAUAAAAGCGAAACAGCUGAUACCAGAAAGGAUCUUUACCAAAACCCAAAUGAGUGACACCUAGAGUAAAAUCUAUUUCAUGGCUUCCUCUAAGCUAUGAAAUGGAUUUGAAAGGUGCUUCUCCUUAUGUUUUCAAAUACCUCCAAAGCCUUGCUCCAGAUUACAUUGGUAACAUUCGUACAGCUAAAGUCCAAUGUGAGAUUUGUGCUCAUCUCUUUCAGCUUCAAAAAAUGUACUUUUCUGUAUUGCAUUAAAUGUACAUAACGUUUAUUUAGCUCUAGUACAAAUAAUAUGGCAGCUUCUCAGAAUGUAAUCAUGGAGGACCAAUUUAAAUAGAGAGCAUUUUAUUUUAUUUCUAAAUCAGUUUUAAAAUGAAUAAGGAAUUGCAGAAUUUCUUCAGUAGUUUGCUUCAAUUCAGAGUAAAGAAAUGAUAGUUUUGUAUGCAAACGUGUCAAUUCUUUAUGAUAUUGAGGGGGUCUUUGACGUAUAGCUGGACCUUCUUGGACAUAAUUAAGUCCUCUGAUGUAGAGCAACACAGUCCACAAGCACAUGAAUAAAUAAUGUAAAUGCCGGCUAAAGGGCACUUUGAAGAGUCACCUCAUUACACUCGGAAAUCUAAGCUUGCACUCUGUACUGGCGCUGUGACGGGUGACUUUUUUUACAUUGAGUUCAAAAUGGUUUUUUUAGACCAGUGAUUUUGACACAGGGAAAUAAACU